GGUUGACCUCGGAUCAGGUAGGGAUACCCGCUGAACUUAAGCAUAUCAAUAAGCGGAGGAAAAGAAACCAACAGGGAUUGCCUCAGUAACGGCGAGUGAAGCGGCAAGAGCUCAAAUUUGAAAGCUGGCCCCCUCGGGGUCCGCGUUGUAAUUUGCAGAGGAUGCUUCGGGUGCAGCCCCCGUCUAAGUGCCCUGGAACGGGCCGUCAUAGAGGGUGAGAAUCCCGUCUGGGACGGGGUGUCUGCGUCCGUGUGAAGCUCCUUCGACGAGUCGAGUUGUUUGGGAAUGCAGCUCUAAAUGGGUGGUAAAUUUCAUCUAAAGCUAAAUACUGGCCGGAGACCGAUAGCGCACAAGUAGAGUGAUCGAAAGAUGAAAAGCACUUUGAAAAGAGAGUUAAACAGCACGUGAAAUUGUUGAAAGGGAAGCGUUUGCGACCAGACUCGCCCGCGGGGUUCAGCCGGCAUUCGUGCCGGUGUACUUCCCCGUGGGCGGGCCAGCGUCGGUUUGGGCGGCCGGUCAAAGGCCCUCGGAAUGUAUCACCCCCCGGGGUGUCUUAUAGCCGAGGGUGCAAUGCGGCCUGCCCGGACCGAGGAACGCGCUUCGGCUCGGACGCUGGCGUAAUGGUCGUAAAUGACC
RNAcentral lists this ribosomal RNA (636 nucleotides) under Aspergillus stramenius. RNAcentral describes it as "eukaryotic LSU rRNA". It matches the Rfam family "Eukaryotic large subunit ribosomal RNA", at positions 1 to 649 of the family's 3401-position model. The record is from RNAcentral. Lineage: Eukaryota; Fungi; Ascomycota; Eurotiomycetes; Eurotiales; Aspergillaceae.